This 2918-nucleotide long non-coding RNA is filed under the name Xyrichtys novacula (pearly razorfish). Lineage: Eukaryota; Metazoa; Chordata; Actinopteri; Labriformes; Labridae. The record is from RNAcentral.
UGACGUUGGGAAAUGAUUCCUUCAGCUUUAUUUACCACCUGACUCUUCCACAGAGAACACAAGCCCCUCUGCUGGACUCUGAUUCUCUUGGGGCACACCUUAACGAUACUACAACUCAAUACAAUAACGUUGCUUUCUCAAAGUAAAACCUGGUUUGAUGUUAUAGCGGAAACUCCAAGAUAUGAUAUUUGUGCAGAUUAACUGACUCAGUCUGACCCACCGGGCUCAAUGGUGCACUUCACUGUGAGCACCAGUCCGUGAAUGCAUCACCUAUUGUAAGUGUCACAAAAACCGCUACUUUGCAGAAAGUGGAGAAACACCUCAUGUUGUUUCACAUGAGUAAACACUGCAUGGCAUACUACCAGAAAAACCCAACAGCAGCAGUGUGUGAAAUUGUAGCUGUAGAUAAGACUGCUAGUAGUUUAUUCGGAUUGGUAGUGAGUUCAAACUCUCAUAUUCACAAAAAUUAAACUAGCUUUUACUUUAAAGUGUUGUUUAUGCAGCUAAUAUUCAAGCAGUGACUAAGAGUUAUCCCAUUAUAUGACCCCACUCUGUGGCCUUUGCUGCUUCUGGGAAAUGACUUACCUACUUUCAUGUAGCUCAAAAACAACCGAUCCAAUCCACUUUAUUUAUAUAGCAAUUUUUAAAAAACAUUUAACUUUGCCAAAGUGCUGCACAGUAAAAGAACAAACACUACAGAAAACAGCAUGAGGUAAAAAAUAAAAGCAGGUAAAAAAAAAAACAUUUAAAAUGAAGUAAAAACACAAAAGCAUAAAAGAAAUAAAAGUGAUAAAAGGACCAUAAAAAACAUAAAAGGAUGGAGACCACACAGCUCUCACGCUGAGCUAAAAGCCAAGGAAUAAAAAAUGAGUUUUAAGACGUGGUUUAAAAGUAGAAAGAGUUGGGGAUGCUGUUUGUCAUUUAUUACCAAGCGGAGGAAUGGAUGUUAAAGACGGAUUAAAGUUAAGUUUUUCUUAUAAAACUACAAGAACACAAACAUCUAGCCAGGGUUGCAUCACAACAGUCAUCAGGAGCAUGUUGUAGUCUAUGCACCUUGACCUUCACUUUUGCGGAGUUUGAAUGAUGCCCAUGAUUUUAUAGGGUUCAUGAUGGCUACGUAUAGUUAGGGGAUGUAGUAUAUCCUCAUAGUAUCCACGGGGAGGAGGUGGAGAUGGUGGACUCCUACAAGUCUUUGGGGGUCCAUAUUAACAACAGGCUGGACUGGAAGGUCAACACAGAUGUUGUGUACAAGAACGGGCAGAACUGUUGGCCACCUUCUACCCGUCUAUGGUGGCGAGCACUUUGUUUUUUGCUGUGGUGUGCUGGGGUGGAGGCAUCGGGGAGGGAGAGCGAAAUAAGAUCCACAGGCUGGUGAGGAAGUCCGGCAGGGUGGUGGGCCACAAACUGGACAGUUUGGAGGCAGUGACGGAGAGGAAGAUAAGGGACAAGCUUGACAACAUUUUUGAAAACUCCUCCCGCCUCCUCCAUGAGGAGCUGUGGCUGAGAGGGAGAACUUUCAGCCAAAGACUUACUCUCCUCAGGUGCAGAACGGAGAAGUUCAGGUGCUCCUUCCUUCCUUCCCACAGACUGUUCAAUAGGCCUGAAAUGAGACGUAGCACAAACACACAGGUCUUAGCAAGGUGGAGCACUUUAACUUUUAGGUUUUAUCUUAUUUACUGUCAGCUAUUUGUUUGUUGUCAUCGCUUUUUAUUUUGAUGAUACCUCAUGUGUGUCCUCAAGUUAAGUUCGAGUGUUUCUGUCUCAAGUUUGAUCAUUAGUCUGUUAAAUGAUUCACUUCCUCUUGUCAGGGGACUCUCAGGAUCUUCUUGCUUUGUCAUCUCAAAACUUGGCAUUAAACCUUUAACACUCAAGUGGAAAGUCCGGGGAUGACGUUUCUGCAGAUCACCCGCUUCAGUCCACUCUGCGUGAUACUGAAACCGCAUGAAUACCAAGUCGUGAAGAUAAGUCGUGGUUCAACAGGAGCUUCACCACGCUGCCUUUCAGUGGCGCUGUUCUGCGCUCCAGUAGACCGCAGCAGGCCCUGUCCUGUCUGCCUGUCUUUCUCUCUCGCCUGUCUGUCUCUAUAAUUCACUCACACACUUUCUCUGUGGAGAGUGAAUGUUGGGGAGGAAUAAGCUCUCCAAAAUCCUGCGUUGUUGAGUCAAAGAAAAAGGAAGUGCAGGGGGAGAAAGUGGAGGGCUGAUUUUCACCGGGAAGCCGCGAGUGUGUGGCACAAAAAACGUGAAAAAUAACCACAUGAGCAGUCGUCCUUUGUGGGGGCUGAACACUGACCCAUACGAGCUUUGAGCUGCUUUUGGUUUUUUUUGUGUGUGUGUUUUUCAGGAUUUCCCACAGGAGAGGAAGAGGAGGGAGUGUUUGCUGUUUGCCGAUCAGAAACGCCGAUUCCCUCCUCGGAGUGAGAAAGGGAGGAGGGAUUUUUUUUUUCUUUACACCUGAAGCAGCCCCUCAUCCUUACUGUCCUCUUUCACAUACACUCCUAAAAUCUGCAUAUUUACGUGUUUCUGUUCCACACCAGAGGAGAAAUCGAGUAGAGCCGAGUGGAGAGCUGCUGCAGUUGUUUCUCAGCUCCCUCUCUCUCUCUCUCCCUCUCUGUCUCUCUGUGUGUCUCACCCCUUCGUUUCUGUAAAUCAGGAAAGCUGACCGUGUCUUUACAACAUGUAUGCACAAACCCUGCUCGGUCAAAAAGCACCAAGUGUUAUUAAACGUUGUGGUUUGUGCUGACAGACGAGCGUUUGGCACACACAGACACACACAUACACAGGAGGAUAAGUGUGCCUCAGUUCCCCCUAUCGUGGCAGAAACGCUCAUAAGACAGUGACUUUGGGAGGCAUUACAUGUAAAGACAAUCUCCAUAUCGAGGCAGUUGGAGAUCCACGAAUGAGGCAGGCUCCACAAGC